This 93-nucleotide transfer RNA is filed under the name Shewanella frigidimarina NCIMB 400. RNAcentral describes it as "tRNA-Tyr (ATA) (tRNA-Tyr-ATA-1-1)". The record is from RNAcentral. Lineage: Bacteria; Pseudomonadati; Pseudomonadota; Gammaproteobacteria; Alteromonadales; Shewanellaceae.
CGCAGGAUAGAGCAGUUGACUUGUCGAGCUCAGCUUUUUAUAAAUAAAGAGUCGAAGGUCGUAGUUUUUUAUCAAGUCCUACUCCCGCAACCA